UGGGGAAUAUUGGACAAUGGGCGAAAGCCUGAUCCAGCCAUGCCGCGUGUGUGAAGAAGGUCUUCGGAUUGUAAAGCACUUUAAGUUGGGAGGAAGGGCAUUAACCUAAUACGUUAGUGUUUUGACGUUACCGACAGAAUAAGAACCGGCUAACUCUGUGCCAGCAGCCGCGGUAAUACAGAGGGUGCAAGCGGUAAUCGGAAUUACUGGGCGUAAAGCGCGCGUAGGUGGUUUGUUAAGUUGGAUGUGAAAUCCCCGGGCUCAACCUGGGAACUGCAUUCAAAACUGACUGACUAGAGUAUGGUAGAGGGUGGUGGAAUUUCCUGUGUAGCGGUGAAAUGCGUAGAUAUAGGAAGGAACACCAGUGGCGAAGGCGACCACCUGGACUAAUACUGACACUGAGGUGCGAAAGCGUGGGGAGCAAACA
RNAcentral lists this ribosomal RNA (427 nucleotides) under uncultured bacterium. Its description in RNAcentral is "partial 16S ribosomal RNA". It matches the Rfam family "Bacterial small subunit ribosomal RNA", at positions 355 to 774 of the family's 1533-position model. The record is from RNAcentral.